GCUGGGCAAAGUUGUGCGUGCCUGUAAUCCCAGCUACUUGGGAGGCUGAGACAGGAGAAUCGCUUGAACCCGGGAGGCAGAGGCUGCAGUGGGCCAAGAUCAUUGCACCACUGUACUCUAGCCUGGGUGACAGAGUGAGACUCUGUCUCAA
RNAcentral lists this small RNA (151 nucleotides) under Callithrix jacchus (white-tufted-ear marmoset). RNAcentral's name for it is "Metazoan signal recognition particle RNA (ENSCJAG00000086534.1)". The record is from Rfam by way of RNAcentral. Lineage: Eukaryota; Metazoa; Chordata; Mammalia; Primates; Cebidae.